AUUGAACGCUGGCGGCAGGCCUAACACAUGCAAGUCGAACGAGUGGCGGACGGGUGAGUAAUGUCUGGGAAACUGCCUGAUGGAGGGGGAUAACUACUGGAAACGGUAGCUAAUACCGCAUACCAUCGGAUGUGCCCAGAUUGGAUUAGCUAGUAGGUGGGGUAAAGGCUCAACUAGGCGACGAUCCCUAGCUGGUCUGAGAGGAUGACCCGGCACACUGGAAAUGGGACACGGUCCAGACUCCUACGGGGGGCAGCAGGUGGGGAUUUUGGACAAUGGGGGCAAUCCUGAUUCAGGCAUGCCGCGUGGGUUAAGAAGGCCGUCGGGGUGUAAAGGUCUUUCAGCGGGGAGGCGUUACCCGCAGAAGAAGCACCGGCUAACUCCGUGCCCGCAGACGCGGUAAUAC
RNAcentral lists this ribosomal RNA (406 nucleotides) under uncultured bacterium. RNAcentral's name for it is "partial 16S ribosomal RNA". It matches the Rfam family "Bacterial small subunit ribosomal RNA", at positions 30 to 526 of the family's 1533-position model. The record is from RNAcentral.